UGAGCUGAGUUUACUUUAAAAAGUUGAGAAAAGGGGUUGCCUUAAAAAAAAAGUAAUGAUUAAUGAACUUUUAAAGUACAUUUAACUUAAAAUCUUUUGUAAUAUCAACUGCUUUGCAUAGUUAUUACACUUAAAUAAUUAAGUUCAAAGUUCCAAGUAAUUUUUAAAAAAAAAUCUUUUUUCUUUUA
Long non-coding RNA from Sphaeramia orbicularis (orbiculate cardinalfish), 188 nucleotides. RefSeq lists it as uncharacterized. NCBI's taxonomy places the organism in Eukaryota, Metazoa, Chordata, Actinopteri, Kurtiformes, Apogonidae. The record is from RefSeq and is a predicted model, not a curated record. The transcript is spliced from 3 exons.